This 497-nucleotide ribosomal RNA is filed under the name uncultured bacterium. RNAcentral describes it as "partial 16S ribosomal RNA". It matches the Rfam family "Bacterial small subunit ribosomal RNA", at positions 28 to 507 of the family's 1533-position model. The record is from RNAcentral.
GACGAACGCUGGCGGCGUGCCUAAUACAUGCAAGUUGAGCGAUGAAGAUUGGUGCUUGCACCAAUUUGAAGAGCAGCGAACGGGUGAGUAACGCGUGGGGAAUCUGCCUUUGAGCGGGGGGCAACAUUUGGAAACGAAUGCUAAUACCGCAUAACAACUUUAAACAUAAGUUUUAAGUUUGAAAGAUGCAAUUGCAUCACUCAAAGAUGAUCCCGCGUUGUAUUAGCUAGUUGGUGAGGUAAAGGCUCACCAAGGCGAUGAUACAUAGCCGACCUGAGAGGGUGAUCGGCCACAUUGGGACUGAGACACGGCCCAAACUCCUACGGGAGGCAGCAGUAGGGAAUCUUCGGCAAUAGACGAAAGUCUGACCGAGCAACGCCGCGUGAGUGAAGAAGGUUUUCGGAUCGUAAAACUCUGUUGGUAGAGAAGAACGUUGGUGAGAGUGGAAAGCUCAUCAAGUGACGGUAACUACCCAGAAAGGGACGGCUAACUACGUG